AGGACGAACGCUGGCGGCGUGCUUAACACAUGCAAGUCGAGCGGAAAGGCCCUUCGGGGUACUCGAGCGGCGAACGGGUGAGUAACACGUGAGUAAUCUGCCCCUAGCUCUGGGAUAGCUCCGGGAAACCGGGAUUAAUACCGGAUACGACCGCUUUAGACAUCUGUUGUGGUGGAAAGAAUUUUGGCUAGGGAUGAGCUCGCGGCCUAUCAGCUUGUUGGUGGGGUAACGGCCUACCAAGGCGACGACGGGUAGCCGGCCUGAGAGGGCGACCGGCCACACUGGGACUGAGACACGGCCCAGACUCCUACGGGAGGCAGCAGUGGGGAAUAUUGCGCAAUGGGCGAAAGCCUGACGCAGCGACGCCGCGUGGGGGAUGAAGGCCUUCGGGUUGUAAACCCCUUUCAGCAGGGACGAAGCGAAAGUGACGGUACCUGCAGAAGAAGCGCCGGCUAACUACGUGCCAGCAGCCGC
RNAcentral lists this ribosomal RNA (474 nucleotides) under uncultured bacterium. Its description in RNAcentral is "SSU rRNA". It matches the Rfam family "Bacterial small subunit ribosomal RNA", at positions 26 to 518 of the family's 1533-position model. The record is from RNAcentral.